UACGUAGGGUGCGAGCGUUAAUCGGAAUUACUGGGCGUAAAGCGUGCGCAGGCGGUUUUGUAAGCCAGAUGUGAAAUCCCCGGGCUUAACCUGGGAAUGGCAUUUUGGGACUGCAAGGCUGGAGUGCGGCAGAGGAGACUGGAAUUCCUGGUGUAGCAGUGAAAUGCGUAGAUAUCAGGAGGAACACCGAUGGCGAAGGCAGGUCUCUGGGCUGACACUGACGCUCAUGCACGAAAGCGUGGGGAGCAAACAGG
This 254-nucleotide ribosomal RNA is filed under the name uncultured bacterium. RNAcentral describes it as "partial 16S ribosomal RNA". It matches the Rfam family "Bacterial small subunit ribosomal RNA", at positions 524 to 776 of the family's 1533-position model. The record is from RNAcentral.